CGGUGGCCGCGGCGGCGCCGCAUCAAAGCCGUAAUCUCCUCCCGUUGGUCACCACCGGUGACUCAUCCCAACCUCCCUCCACCGCCGCUAUAAAUGGGCUCCAACCACCACCUCCCGGACCUCCUCGGGUCUUCUCCUCCUCCAUCGGCCAUGGCUCAUGGUGGACGUGGACCUCUGGGGUUCCUCCUGGGUCUCCUCCUCCUCCCGUUGGGGGCGUUGGUGACCACCACAGCUGCUCAAGGCCAAAGCAACGCCAGCGGUGAAGUGGACGAGUCGCGCAUCAUCGGCGGCCGCCCGUGUUCCAUCACCCAACGGCCCUUCCAGGUGGCCCUCCUCAAGGGGGGACACAUCCUCUGCGGGGGGUCCCUGGUGUCCCCCUCCUACGUCCUGACGGCCGCUCACUGCAGAAGACCCGUCUCGGAGUACAGAGUCCUCCUGGGGGUGGACAGAUUGCACGACGGCUCCGGAGAGGUCCGUGCGGUGACCGCCGCCCGCGUCCACCCCCGCUACGACCCCCGGCGCAACGACAACGACUUCAUGCUCCUCAAGUUGGACAAACCCGUCCCGUUGUCCUCUCGGAUCAAAACCAUCCGCUUGGCCACCGCCUGUCCGCGCCCGGGAAUGCGCUGCAGCGUCUCCGGGUGGGGGACCACCAGGUCCCCAGGAGCCGCGUUACCGGAGAGGCUCCAAUGCGCCGACAUUGAGACCUUCGGACCAUCGCGGUGCUCUCGCGCCUACGGCGACGCCGUCACCCGCAACAUGUUCUGCGCCGGCGUCCCCCAGGGCGGCAUCGACUCCUGCCAGGGCGACUCCGGUGGCCCUCUGGUGUGCGAUGGGGUCCUCCAGGGCGUGGUCUCCUGGGGUUUGGCCGUCUGUGGGCGCAGAGGGACACCCGGAGUCUACUCCAACGUCUGCCGGGCGGCGCGGUGGGUGCGGCAGUGGACGGGGGGACAGCACUGAGGACAUCGGCUCCACCAUCAGCUCCACCACCUCCAUCACCAUCAGCUCCACCAUCAGCUCCACCACCUCCAUCAUCAUCAGCUCCACCUGAGGGACCUCCUGGAGGUGGGAACUCAUCUUCAUCAUCAUCUCCACCACCUCCAUCAUCUCAACUCCAUCACCUCCACCUGAGGGACCUCCUGGAGGUGGGACCUCAUCUCCACCAGUUCCACCAGUCCAACCAGUCCCACCAUCUCCACCCAAGGGACCUCUUGGAGGUGGAACCUCACCUCCAUCGUCAUCUCCAUCGUCUCAACUCCACCAUCUCCACCUGAGGGACCUCCUGGAGGUGGGAUCUCCUCUCCACCAUCUCCACCAUCUCCUG
Molecule: RNA transcript, 1324 nt
Organism: Cuculus canorus (common cuckoo)
Lineage: Eukaryota; Metazoa; Chordata; Aves; Cuculiformes; Cuculidae
Gene name: kallikrein-14-like
Exons: 7
Source: RefSeq, a predicted model, not a curated record